UACGAAGGGGGCUAGCGUUGCUCGGAAUCACUGGGCGUAAAGGGUGCGUAGGCGGGUUUUUAAGUCAGAGGUGAAAUCCUGGAGCUCAACUCCAGAACUGCCUUUGAUACUGAAAGUCUUGAGUACGGGAGAGGUGAGUGGAACUGCGAGUGUAGAGGUGAAAUUCGUAGAUAUUCGCAAGAACACCAGUGGCGAAGGCGGCGCACUGGCCCGUAACUGACGCUGAGGCACGAAAGCGUGGGGAGCAAACAGG
RNAcentral lists this ribosomal RNA (253 nucleotides) under uncultured bacterium. RNAcentral describes it as "partial 16S ribosomal RNA". It matches the Rfam family "Bacterial small subunit ribosomal RNA", at positions 524 to 776 of the family's 1533-position model. The record is from RNAcentral.